UUUGAUCGGGUGGGCCGAGGGAAGGAGAUGGGCGGACAUCCUCAAGCCCGGGUCUGUUAACACAGACCCAAUCUUCCCCAACAACAAGCUCACCGGGACAGAUGUUGGGUACCCGGGAGGGCUCUGGUUCGACCCACUUGGAUGGGGAAGCGGCUCGCCUGAGAAGAUCAAGGAGUUGAGGACAAAGGAGAUCAAGAACGGAAGGCUGGCUAUGUUGGCUGUGAUGGGAGCUUGGUUCCAACACAUUUACACUGGGACUGGCCCCAUUGACAACCUCUUCGCUCACCUCGCCGAUCCCGGCCAUGCCACCAUUUUUGCUGUAAGUGCAAUUAGUACAUUUUAAAUUGAUUUAAACUAAUUUGAGAACAUGUUUAGGGUUAACAUAUCUAAUUGUUUUGGUUGUUUUUUGACAGUCUUUUUCCCCGAAGUGAGGAAAGAAGGAGAAUUCUAAUUGGGAUUCAAGUGCGGGAGGAGAAGGGGCAACGUUGGUAGGACAAAAAACUUGUAAUUUUAUCUGCUUGCCUUGUGUACAAAAAUCUAUUUGGAACCUUCAUUCCAAUAUGUAUGAAAUCAGCUGGUGACCUACAAAAUCGGAACUUAUAAAUAUGUAAACUACUGUUUUGCGAUAUUAGAGGAGGGCACGAUCGAACCUAGAACCACCACAAAUGUAUUAAUAAGUAUUCUAAAUCACUCAAGUUACAAAUCCACUUCAAAAUGUUUUCUUUUUUUUGUGGAAAGAACUUAACUUGGGAUUUUAUUAUACUACAAUAUUCAUUACGAAAAGGUUAAACAACAUGAACUUUUAAAAAAUCCAAAUCCUGGUUUGUGUAGGCAGGGAGAAGAUGCCCAAAGCCUCAAACAUACCGUCAGAUUGCAGUCUUAUUUAUUAAAAUUAAGCGAUUUCGAAGUUUCACAACCAUGUGAACCGAUGUUCUUAUCAAACUGGUUUGGGAAUAUAUAUUAUACAAUAAAAUUGGUUACAAAGUUUUAAUCAAAAUUAAACGUGCGGAUCAAAUAAACUGAUAUAAGCUGUAUAUUAAUCACAAUUUAAUAUCAUUUUUAACCAGCUUUAUUUGUGCAUAUGGAAUGAGAAUUGUGGAUGCAAAUUUCUUCCUCUUUGAUCUUGGACAAAAUUGCACCUACAAAACAACUAACACCUUUGGUUAAGACCAAAAGCCUCACGCGCCC
RNAcentral lists this long non-coding RNA (1188 nucleotides) under Malus domestica (apple). RNAcentral describes it as "long non-coding RNA (MDOM_LNC016135)". Lineage: Eukaryota; Viridiplantae; Streptophyta; Magnoliopsida; Rosales; Rosaceae. The record is from RNAcentral.